CCGUUAGGAGGGAAACGAAUGCAGCUGAAGUAGCUCCCCUUCAGGCUCAGGAAGUGUCGAAUCGGCUUGCUGGCUGGCGGAAGCCGUAAGGCACCGGCGGUUGGACGACCGGUCGACUACUCUGCACUCCUGGGGGGAGCUGGCCAACAACAGUUGUUUCUGGCUCACGAGGGCGGUUGGGCAGGUGGCCUCCUCUCUCGAGAGGUGGAACUUACAGCCAUCCGUCUGGUAGUCUGGAGGCGACUGAGGAGAGAUGUGAACUUUCACACUCGCAGUGCAGGCCCAUCUGGGCCGGGCCACCUCUUUCCGUUUGGGCACCGCUCCGGGGACUGCUUGCAGUGUCCGCUGACGAAUGUCUGCUCGGUCGGGGGAAUGGUCACGCCUUGCGCUGCAGUUGUUGGUGUCCAAAUGGCUGCAUCCGACCCGUCUUGAAACACGGACCAAGGAGUGCAACAUGCGUGCGAGUCUUGGGGUGACAAACCCAUCGGCGCAAUGAAGGUGAAGGCAGAUUUUUGGUCUGCUCAGGCAGGAGCUCCCCUCCGGGGGGCACACUGUCGACCGAUCCCAGGCUACGCUGUGGCGGGAUUUGAGUAAGAGCGUGCCUGUUGCGA
Molecule: ribosomal RNA, 611 nt
Filed under: Tethya hibernica
Lineage: Eukaryota; Metazoa; Porifera; Demospongiae; Tethyida; Tethyidae
Description: eukaryotic LSU rRNA
Rfam family: Eukaryotic large subunit ribosomal RNA
Source: RNAcentral